AGUGGCGGACGGGUGAGUAACACGUGAGAAUUUACCUUUAGGAGGGGAAUAACAGUUAGAAAUGACUGCUAAUGCCGCAUAUCAUAAAUAUGAAAGAAGAAAUUCGCCUAAAGAAAAGCUUGCGUCUGAUUAGCUAGUUGGUAAGGGUAAAGGCCUACCAAGGCGACGAUCAGUAGCUGGUUUGAGAGGACGACCAGCCACACUGGAACUGAGACACGGUCCAGACUCCUACGGGAGGCAGCAGUGGGGAAUUUUCUGCAAUGGGCGCAAGCCUGACAGAGCAAUACCGCGUGAGGGAAGAAAGCCCACAGGGUUGUAAACCUCUUUUAUCAAGGAAGAAGUUCUGACGUUACUUGAUGAAUAAGCAUCGGCUAACUCCGUGCCAGCAGCCGCGGUAAGACGGGGGAUGCAAGUGUUAUCCGGAAUCACUGGGCGUAAAGCGUUUGUAGGUGGUCUAGUAAGUCUAUUGUUAAAGCUUGAAGCUUAACUUCAAAAAUGUAAUAGAAACUAUUAGACUUGAGGAUAGUAGGGGUAAAGGGAAUUUCCAGUGGAGCGGUGAAAUGCGUAGAGAUUGGAAGGACCACCGAUGGCGAAGGCACUUUACUGGGCUAUUUCUGACACUAAGAGACGAAAGCUAGGGUAGCGAAUGGGAUUAGAUACCCCAGUAGUCCUAGCUGUAAACGAUGGAUACUAGAUGUUGCGUGUAUCGAUCCAUGCAGUAUCGUAGCUAACGCGUUAAGUAUCCCGCCUG
This 751-nucleotide ribosomal RNA is filed under the name uncultured microorganism. RNAcentral describes it as "SSU rRNA". It matches the Rfam family "Bacterial small subunit ribosomal RNA", at positions 94 to 875 of the family's 1533-position model. The record is from RNAcentral.